Molecule: ribosomal RNA, 261 nt
Filed under: uncultured archaeon
Lineage: Archaea
Description: partial 16S ribosomal RNA
Rfam family: Archaeal small subunit ribosomal RNA
Source: RNAcentral
CAGCCGUAAACUAUGCGCGUUAGGUGUGCUGGUGACCACGUGUCACCGGGGUGCCGAAGGGAAACCGUGAAACGUGCCGCCUGGGAAGUACGGUCGCAAGGCUGGAACUUAAAGGAAUUGGCGGGGGAGCACCACAACGGGUGGAGCCUGCGGUUUAAUUGGACUCAACGCCGGAAAUCUCACCGGAUAGGACAGACAAAUGAUAGUCGGGCUGAAGACUCUACUUGAUGAUCUGAGAGGUGGUGCAUGGCGUCAGUGACU